Molecule: unclassified non-coding RNA, 404 nt
Filed under: soil metagenome
Description: partial contains 5.8S ribosomal RNA, internal transcribed spacer 2, and large subunit ribosomal RNA
Rfam family: 5.8S ribosomal RNA (bases 1-121)
Source: RNAcentral
GAUGAAGAACGCAGCGAAAUGCGAUAAGUAAUGUGAAUUGCAGAAUUCAGUGAAUCAUCGAAUCUUUGAACGCACCUUGCGCCCUUUGGCCAUUCCGAAGGGCAUGCCUGUUUGAGUAUCAUGAACACCUCAACUCUUUAUGGUUUUCCAUGAUGAGCUUGGACUCUGGGGGUUUUGCUGGCUCACAGUCGGCUCCUCUAAAAUGAAUCAGCUUACCAGUGUUUGGUGGGUAUCAUGGGUGUGAUAACUAUCUACGCUUGUGGUUUUUCCUCCAGGUAACCUUCAGCAGUGGAGGUUCGCUGGAGCUCAUAGAUGUCUCUCCUCAGUGAGGACAGCCCUUUGAAUGUUUGAUCUCAAAUCAGGUAGGACUACCCGCUGAACUUAAGCAUAUCAAUAGCGGAGGA